RNAcentral lists this ribosomal RNA (589 nucleotides) under uncultured bacterium. Its description in RNAcentral is "bacterial SSU rRNA". It matches the Rfam family "Bacterial small subunit ribosomal RNA", at positions 920 to 1509 of the family's 1533-position model. The record is from RNAcentral.
CCCGCACAAGCGGUGGAGCAUGUGGUUUAAUUCGAUGAUACGCGAGGAACCUUACCAGGGCUUAAAUGUAGAUUGACAGAUUUGGAAACAGAUUUUUCUUCGGACAAUUUACAAGGUGCUGCAUGGUUGUCGUCAGCUCGUGCCGUGAGGUGUCAGGUUAAGUCCUAUAACGAGCGCAACCCCUGUCGUUAGUUGCCAGCGAGUCAUGUCGGGAACUCUAACGAGACUGCCAGUGCAAACUGAGAGGAAGGUGGGGAUGACGUCAAAUCAUCACGGCCCUUACGCCCUGGGCUACACACGUGCUACAAUGGCCAGUACAGAGGGCUGCGAAGCCGUAAGGUGGAGCGAAUCCCUUAAAGCUGGUCUCAGUUCGGAUUGGGGUCUGCAACUCGACCCCAUGAAGUCGGAGUCGCUAGUAAUCGCAGAUCAGCAACGCUGCGGUGAAUACGUUCCCGGGCCUUGUACACACCGCCCGUCACGUCAUGAAAGUCGGUAACACCCGAAGCCAGUGGCCUAACCCUUGUGGAGGGAGCUGUCGAAGGUGGGAUCGGCGAUUGGGACGAAGUCGUAACAAGGUAGCCGUAAAGGG